This 451-nucleotide ribosomal RNA is filed under the name uncultured bacterium. RNAcentral's name for it is "partial 16S ribosomal RNA". It matches the Rfam family "Bacterial small subunit ribosomal RNA", at positions 355 to 798 of the family's 1533-position model. The record is from RNAcentral.
UAGGGAAUCUUCCACAAUGGACGCAAGUCUGAUGGAGCAACGCCGCGUGAGUGAAGAAGGCUUUCGGGUCGUAAAACUCUGUUAUUGAAGAAGAACGUGUGUGACAGUAACUGGUCAUGCAGUGACGGUAUUCAAUCAGAAAGUCACGGCUAACUACGUGCCAGCAGCCGCGGUAAUACGUAGGUGGCAAGCGUUGUCCGGAUUUAUUGGGCGUAAAGCGAGUGCAGGCGGUCUUUUAAGUCUGAUGUGAAAGCCUUCGGCUUAACCGAAGAAGGGCAUCGGAAACUGGGAGACUUGAGUGCAGAAGAGGAGAGUGGAACUCCAUGUGUAGCGGUGAAAUGCGUAGAUAUAUGGAAGAACACCAGUGGCGAAGGCGGCUCUCUGGUCUGUAACUGACGCUGAGGCUCGAAAGCGUGGGUAGCAAACAGGAUUAGAUACCCUGGUAGUCCAC